Long non-coding RNA from Equus caballus (horse), 1839 nucleotides. NCBI's taxonomy places the organism in Eukaryota, Metazoa, Chordata, Mammalia, Perissodactyla, Equidae. The record is from Ensembl.
CUCUGCCUUCUUCAGCUUCUAAGGCUGCCACAUCCUCGGAUCCCUUCCUUCCACCAUUCCAACCUCUGCUUCCAUCAUCACAUCUCCUUCUCUGGCUCUGUCUCCCAUGCCUCCCUUCCAGGACCCUUAUGAUCACAUCAGGGCCACCCAGAUAAUUCAGGAUAAUCUCCCCUUCUUAAGAUCUUUUUAAACUUAACUGCAUCUGCAAAGUCCCUUUUUCCACUCAGGUAACUUUUUUCUUUUUUUUUUUUUGGUGAGGAAGAUUAGCCCUGAGCUAACAUCUGCUGCCAAUGUUCUUCUUUUUGCCCACAGAAGGUUGUCACUGAGCUGACAUCUAUGUCAAUCUUCCUCCAUUUUGCAUGUGGGAUGGCGCCACAGCAUGGCUUGAUGAGUGCUGUGUAGGUCCACGUCUGGGAUCUGAACCUGUGAACCCUGGGCCGCUGAUGUGGAACUCACAAACUUAACCACCAAGCCACCGGACUGGCCCCUAGGUAACAUAUUUUUAGGUUCCAGGGAUUAGGACAUGGAGCUCUUUGCAGGGGCUAUUAUUCAGCCUACCCCAGUGUCACAAAGCAUAACUGUAACAUUCCACUACUGAGCUCCAUCCUUCAAAGGUGAUUUUUCUUUAGUGACGUCCUCCAACCUUGCUUUCUAUUAAAGGCUGUGCUCUAGGUUUGAGGGGACCACCCGUUUCUGCCUCCAUCUCUUCUGCUGCUACAGCAGGAAUUCUCAAUGCUGGCUACCUAUUGGAAUCACCUGGAGGACCUUUAAAACCUACCUAAGCCAGGAUGCCGGGCAGCUCAAUUGAAAUCAGAAUUUCUGGAGGUGGGGCUUGAGCUCUUGGCAGGUUACAGCGUGUCUCCAGGUGAUUCUAAUAUGAAACUAACUUCGAGAACCACCAUAAGAAAGAACUGCUGGCAAACCCUCCCAGCUUGAAGCUGAGUCCAAGAAGGAAAGAUUGACUGUAAAGAUAAAUGGCAAGAAAAUGAAUUUCUAAGUCAUUUAUCCCUGGUUUAGCAUUCUUGCUUGUGCUGUGUCUUUGCUGUAUGACCUUGGUGUUUUCUUCCAUCUUCAGUGCUGGGGUCUCUUUGCAACUUUUGAUCAUGCUGAGUCCAGGGGGCAGCCAGGAAAGCCUUCUCUGAUCUUCCAGUCUGCUUUAGAAGGUCAGGAUGUUACUGGGUUUCUUGGUGGAUGUCAAGCAGUCAAGCUGCACACUGAAAAGAGAGAUUUUCCGCCCUUUGAAGGAAAUUGCUCAGGGUGCAGAAUGAUGGAAUAAUCCUACUAUGCUGGUUUUGCCAAACUUUGUUUCUCAUCAUUCAUUCAGAUAGCAUCUGAUUUUCACAAAGCCUAUUGUCUUGCCCACUUCAGGUUUUAAAGAUUAUUUCUAUGUCUCAGCCCAUGUUAAUGAGUCAGCAGGCACUGAGCAAGCACCGCUGGGGCUGAACAUCGUCCUAGGUAGCGUGAGGGCACAACCAAGGACACGUAGGCACGGCGCCUGCCACGGGAUCUAGCUGGGAAUGUGAGAGUCACAUGGCACAGAAUAAUAUGAGGAAGAUGACAGUUAGGAGCUCUUGGAGCUGUGGGAGGUCGGUGAGGCCUCGGGUGGCUGGGAAGACAGCACAGAGGAGGUGAGCCCCGAGGAGGAUGGGUAGGACUUAGUUAGGGAGAGGGGCAUUCCAGAUGGAUAGACAGCAUGGGCUGAGCCCACGGUGGGUCCAGGGGAGUUAUUAAAAUAAUAAUAACAAAAACAAUAAUGUAAACCAGCUGUCCGUUGGGGUAUCCUGGCCCCCAGAUAUUGAGAUCAACUCAACACACACAUUCCAUGCCAUUCUCGAGGUU